CGCGUAGGUGGUUGCGUAAGUCAGAUGUGAAAUCCUCAGGCUUAACCUGAGAACCGCAUCUGAUACUGCGUGACUCGAGUGCAGCAGAGGGAAACGGAAUUCUUGGUGUAGAGGUGAAAUUCGUAGAUAUCAGGAGGAACACCGGUGGCGAAGGCGGUUUCCUGGGCUGACACUGACACUGAGGCGCGAAAGCGUGGGUAGCAAACAGGAUUAGAUACCCUGGUAGUCCACGCUGUAAACGGUGAAUACUGGGUGUGGGAGGUGUAAUGCCUUCUGUGCCGAAGCUAACGCGUUAAGUAUUCCGCCUGGGGAGUACGGCCGCAAGGUUGAA
RNAcentral lists this ribosomal RNA (331 nucleotides) under uncultured bacterium. Its description in RNAcentral is "bacterial SSU rRNA". It matches the Rfam family "Bacterial small subunit ribosomal RNA", at positions 568 to 898 of the family's 1533-position model. The record is from RNAcentral.